Molecule: ribosomal RNA, 117 nt
Organism: Sinocyclocheilus anshuiensis
Lineage: Eukaryota; Metazoa; Chordata; Actinopteri; Cypriniformes; Cyprinidae
Source: Ensembl
CAUAGCAGCCAUAUCACCCUGUAGACCAAGACUGGUUGCCCACUGAAGCUAAGCAGGGUUGAGACUGGUCAGUACCUGGAUGGGAGACCUCCUGGGAAAACUAGGUUGCUGCUGGAA